RNAcentral lists this ribosomal RNA (366 nucleotides) under uncultured bacterium. Its description in RNAcentral is "bacterial SSU rRNA". It matches the Rfam family "Bacterial small subunit ribosomal RNA", at positions 29 to 418 of the family's 1533-position model. The record is from RNAcentral.
AACGAACGCUGGCGGCAUGCCUAACACAUGCAAGUCGAACGGGAUCCUAGCUUGCUAGGUGAGAGUGGCGGACGGGUGAGUAACACGUGGGAAUCUGCCUUUUGGUUCGGGAUAACCGCGGGAAACUGCGGCUAAUACCGAAUGCCCUCGAGAGAGGAAAGAUUUAUCGCCAGAAGAGGAGCCCGCGUCCGAUUAGGUAGUUGGUGGGGUAAAGGCCUACCAAGCCGACGAUCGGUAGCUGGUCUGAGAGGAUGAUCAGCCACACUGGACUGAGAUACGGCCAGACUCCUACGGGAGCAGCAGUGGGAAUAUUGGACAAUGGGGGCAACCCUGAUCCAGCAAUGCCGCGUGAGUGAUGAAGGCCUU